Molecule: long non-coding RNA, 1050 nt
Organism: Capsicum annuum
Lineage: Eukaryota; Viridiplantae; Streptophyta; Magnoliopsida; Solanales; Solanaceae
Exons: 2
Source: RefSeq, a predicted model, not a curated record
ACUCUUAAUAUUUUUUUAUAAUGUUCCACCGAACCGGCCCACCAAUUAUACCCCUACCCAAUCCACACUUUACCCCUCUUCUGCUGUCAGCCAAUAUCGAUAAAAAACAACUCAGGAUAUCAACAGCUUCAGCCGUACAGACCAACAACUUCAUUCAACAAUCGAUAUCAGCAACGUACAACAAUUUCAAUAGAAACAACAACAACAGCCGAUGACCCAACAUCAACGAUCCAUACCUGCGAACCGACCCAUAUCCACAUCCAGUUCAGCCAAUAACGACACCUACCAGCCAACGUUCGGGUUGCACAAUUCAAUGAAAAUUCAGACGAAUUAGUACGGUUCCAGCUCAACAAACCUUAUCCCAUUCUUGAAUUUGAAUUUGAAUUUUUCCAAUAAAUUUCCAGAAACACCCUUGAAUUUCUAGCCUACAUCAGUAGAAUUUUCAAAUUUCAUUCGAUUUGGCCUCUGUAAUAGCCUAUUGUUUUCAUUAAAAAGGGGAGAGCUUGGAUAGCAAAGAUUAUCAUUUAUCAGGGAUUUUAGCUAUGGAAAAAGAUUUUAGCUCGUUGUCCCGAUUUGCUGCUCCGAAAAAGGAACCAAAUUCCAUUCUUCCGAAACGAAAUCUCAUGCCAAAGGCUCAAAAUGGGACUGAUGCACAACGAUAUACUGAAGAUAUAUGAGAAAGAGACUGAUAUACAAGUUGCAAGAAUUGAAAAAUGGGUCAAGAUCUCGAAAAUGCUGAUGUUUAGGUUCACUUUGGGCUGAUAUACGCCCCAAUAUACAUUGAUAUACAGAAAACACAGAAAAUGAAGUCUGGAAUACAAUCAGUAUACAAUUGGUAUACAAAGCUGAUAUUGGACCCAAGUCCAUGAGUUUCUGGCGCAAAACCUAGGCAGAUCUGAAUUGAGCUAGAAAGGGGCCCAAAUUUCAAUUUUAUUUUCUUUAUUUGCUUGUGAUUAACUUAAUUAUUUAUUUGUAACUUAAUUAAUCUGGAUGAAUAUUCAGGGAGCAAACUCAUGUUGAAAUUAUAUAUUUUAUUUUGGUUGUUUAAUA